This 466-nucleotide ribosomal RNA is filed under the name uncultured bacterium. RNAcentral's name for it is "partial 16S ribosomal RNA". It matches the Rfam family "Bacterial small subunit ribosomal RNA", at positions 28 to 507 of the family's 1533-position model. The record is from RNAcentral.
GACGAACGCUGGCGGUGUGCUUAACACAUGCAAGUCGAACGGUAAGGCCCUUUCGGGGGUACACGAGUGGCGAACGGGUGAGUAACACGUGAGUAACCUGCCCUCAUCUCUGGGAUAACAGUCGGAAACGGUUGCUAAUACUGGAUAUGAGCUUGCAAGGCAUCUUGUGGGUUGGAAAGAUUUUUUUGGUUGGGGAUGGACUCGCGGCCUAUCAGCUUGUUGGUGCGGUAGUGGCUCACCAAGGCUUCGACGGGUAGCCGGCCUGAGAGGGCGACCGGCCACAGUGGGACUGAGAUACGGCCCAAACUCAUACGGGUGGCAGCAGUGGGGAAGAUUGCACAAUGGACGGAAGUCUGAUGCAGCAACGCCGCGAGCGGGAUGACGGCCUUCGGGUUGUAAACCGCUUUCAAUUGUGACGAAGCUUUUUGUGACGGUAGCAGUAGAAGAAGCACCGGCUAACUACGUG